Molecule: long non-coding RNA, 1371 nt
Organism: Brassica rapa (field mustard)
Lineage: Eukaryota; Viridiplantae; Streptophyta; Magnoliopsida; Brassicales; Brassicaceae
Source: RefSeq, a predicted model, not a curated record
UAUAUAUGUUAAUAUCAUUUAAAUUUAACUAUAUAUCCUAUCAAAUAAAAAAAUAUUGCUGGAUUAAUAAAAUUUAUUUAUAUGUUUCACCAAUUUAAUUAUAUAUGUAAUAGUUACUGAAUUUUCAAUUAUUCAAGGGGAAUUGCCACAAAUACCACUUUCAAUGUACCAUUUUUCAUUAAUACCUUAACCAAUUUUACCAUUAAAAUUUUAAUAGGCAAAAUACAAUUAUGCCCCUAUCUAAUUAAAACUACAACUAUUAUCUUCUUCUCCACUAUCCGAUAAUCAAUCCGACGAGAUCCGGUGAUUCUGACGAGUUUUCCGGCGAGCUUUGACAACGAAGACGAGCUCUCUUGCGAAAUCUGACGAUGCUGAUGAAUUCUCUGGCGAAACACGAAUGAGACGAUCUCUCUCCUGAUGCUGAUGAGUUUCCGGUGAGAUAUGACGACGCUAACGAGUUUUCCGGCGAGAUCUGACGAUGCCGAGAAGUUCUACGGCAAAGCUGACAGACUCGACAAGCUCAGACGAACGAGACGAUCUCUCUCCCAACGCCUAAGAAACACUAACAAAGGUAAGAUGAUAGUAUAUGGUGAUUUUUGCCUCUUUCUGUAAUUUUAGCUUGAUUUAUCAAAAUCGAUAUGUUUCUAAGAAAGAAGACGAAGUUUUUCAAGUGAAGUUUUCAGAUCUCAUAUUUAUAAGAUCUUAUAAAUUGGGUCCUUUCAAAUCUUACUGUUGAUCUGUUAGCAAUCAAAAGACACAAAGCUUAACGUAAGAGUACAAUUAUUGAUUUGGUUGAUUUAUUGUCAUAGUUUUCAGAUUUAUAUAAUUAUUUAAUUCAUGAGAAGGUACUAACCUAAGAGUAUAAUUAUUCCAUGAUUACUUCUUCUCUUGGUUGAUUUGGUGAUGUUGCAGAGAAUUAAAAAUGUGUGUUGUCAGCUUUUGGAUUUAAAGGAUGUUGUGGAGAAUAUGUGUGGUGAUAUGCAUAUCUAAGUAUCUCACUUCCUUAAGAAGCAGUGGAGAUGAAGGAUGAGUUUGUUGAGUUACGAAAGCAUACUAUUUUUGAAUCUUAUUUUGGAAGUGAAUGCUGAUGCGUAGAAAUAAUAUGUGACUGGCUUUUGUUCAGAUUUUGAAAAUUUACGAGGUUGGUGAGCUGUUUGAAGAGGCAAGAGAGACUCUGAAGAAGAAUGUGGUUUGUGCUAUCAAAGAAUUACGUAUUUAUAACGCUUUAUAAAAGUUGCAGAGUUGGCUUCUUAGUACAUUCUUCUCUCUCAUCUUCUUUAGACAUCUCUUAUACUAAAACAAUUGUAUCUCUCUUUUAGUAGUUGCAUAGUUGAAGAUAUUAGUUGGACAUGUAAGUGAGUUUGGUUUCAA